UCCCGAUGAUGAAAACCCGUUGCGUCUUACCCUCUGUCCUGGCCCCAGAACCUGCAAAGGUUGAACCCACUGGGGCCAGCAGAGGGAGAGGAGGAAGCCUUUGCUCCUGAAGGAACAGUCUGAUGGGAC
This 129-nucleotide small nucleolar RNA is filed under the name Varanus komodoensis (Komodo dragon). RNAcentral describes it as "Small nucleolar RNA SNORD22 (ENSVKKG00000016822.1)". It matches the Rfam family "Small nucleolar RNA SNORD22". From Rfam's summary of the family: U22 is a member of the C/D class of snoRNA which contain the C (UGAUGA) and D (CUGA) box motifs. U22 is encoded within the U22 snoRNA host gene (UHG) in mammals and has also been identified in Xenopus. The record is from Rfam by way of RNAcentral. Lineage: Eukaryota; Metazoa; Chordata; Lepidosauria; Squamata; Varanidae.